RNAcentral lists this ribosomal RNA (402 nucleotides) under uncultured bacterium. RNAcentral's name for it is "bacterial SSU rRNA". It matches the Rfam family "Bacterial small subunit ribosomal RNA", at positions 355 to 774 of the family's 1533-position model. The record is from RNAcentral.
UGGGGAAUAUUGGACAAUGGGCGCAAGCCUGAUCUAGCCAUGCCGCGUGAGCGAUGAAGGCCUUAGGGUUGUAAAGCUCUUUCAGAUGGGAAGAUAAUGACUGUACCAUCAGAAGAAGCCCCGGCUAACUCCGUGCCAGCAGCCGCGGUAAUACGGAGGGGGCUAGCGUUGUUCGGAAUUACUGGGCGUAAAGCGCACGUAGGCGGACUGGAAAGUCAGAGGUGAAAUCCCAGGGCUCAACCUUGGAACUGCCUUUGAAACUCCCAGUCUUGAGGUCGAAGGAGGUGGGUGGAAGUCCAAGUGUAGAGGUGAAAUUCGUAGAUAUUCGGAGGAACACCAGUAGCGAAGGCGGCUCACUGGCUCGAUUCUGACGCUGAGGUGCGAAAGCGUGGGGAGCAAACA